Molecule: transfer RNA, 72 nt
Organism: Ovis aries (sheep)
Lineage: Eukaryota; Metazoa; Chordata; Mammalia; Artiodactyla; Bovidae
Rfam family: tRNA
About the family: Transfer RNA (tRNA) molecules are approximately 80 nucleotides in length.
Source: Rfam
UCCCUCGUGGUCCAGUGGUUAAGGCUCUGCACUUUCACUGCAGGGUCACAGGUUCAGUCCCUGGUCGGGGAA